This 2817-nucleotide long non-coding RNA is filed under the name Lactuca sativa (garden lettuce). Its description in RNAcentral is "long non-coding RNA (LSAT_LNC009322)". Lineage: Eukaryota; Viridiplantae; Streptophyta; Magnoliopsida; Asterales; Asteraceae. The record is from RNAcentral.
UGACAUUUUCCACCAAUUUCUACAAUUUACCAACAACACUUGUUUUUCGCUGACUAUGCUAAGGCCUUCCACUGCGUUUAAAGUAGUGAAAAGUAAAAUAUCAAAGGUUCAUACUUGACAACAUGAUUGACUUGUUUAAUUAUCUGAUAUAUGCAGUUGACAUAAAAUUGAAUAGAAAAGAAGCUUAUUCUAGCAAAAGAUCCAGGUUAGAUGUACAAAUCAUGCAAGUCAUUCUAGUACAGUCAAAAUAUCUUCGUAUAUAUAAAAUAAAUAUGUAAUAUUUUACACCAAAUAAAUAUAAGCACAUGUACUCUGAUACAGGUUUGAUAGAAAAUCAAGAAAGAAAAAAAUGAAUUCCCAUACUUGAGAGAUAGGUCUCCCCACUACUUCCUAACAAGAUUAUUUUAUUCAUACAACUCUCUUAACUGAAUUUUCCCACCUAAAAAACAAUUAUAAGGACUAAACUACCCUCCCAAGCCUCAUAAUCAUCGUCUCCUUAAAAACAUGGUUUACAGUUUUACAUACAUAUUGGUAACUAUGUUGCACAUAUACAUACAUAACUAAACAAGUUUUGGCAGUAUUACGCCUACAAUCUCUUGGUUGACUUGCCCCAACGAUUCAUGUAUGAAGCUUUAAUUAGAAAACAAAAAAUUUGAAGCACUAAUCAAAGAACUACAACUACAGAUUAAGGACUAAAUCAGUUAUUUAAAAAAAAACAAAAUCAAGAACCAUGUUAAGUUAACAUGGUUAUUUUUAUAGAUCAGACCAUACCUCUUCAUGAUUCCCCCGCUUGUUGUAAGCAACCAGAUUUCCGUUUAGUUUAGUGUAAAAGCCUCAAGUUGUGGUAUCAUACCUGCAUAUUCUACUAAAUCAAGCAUAAAUAUAAAUUAGAGACAAAAUAUGGUGGAAAAGGAAAAGAAAACAUAUAUUUGUAUAAUGACUUAAGUACCAUUCAACAAUGCACAAAUUAAUGAGCGAAUAAUCUAGAGAGAAAACAAUAUUUUAAAACACCUUAAGGAAGAGUACUUUAUGUUCAUCUAGGUUCUGGGUAUCCACAUUCAACAAAGCAAAGAAGGAUUCAUGAACCUUGAAAAAAGAUAAAAGUAAAUGUGACAGUCAAAUACCACAAACACUAAGGGGUUUACCUCAUCGUUGUUGGAGGCCCAAAGAUAAAAUAAUGGUAAGGGUUUAACCCUCGUUAUCUCUGACCAAUAUGUUCCAACCUAUUAAAUCAAAAAGAAAAAUCAUUGUGAAAUCAGAAGAAAAACAAAAACAAUAAAAUGCUUGAACAAAUGAGCCAACAGAAGUGGUUUCACCUCAGAUUAUGAGUAACUCAAUAUAAAAAAACGCAAAACUAAAAUGGAGAUGACUCCAUGCUUCUACAGUAGAGAUAGAGAGAAAUUCAAGUUUCUUUUUCAUAAACUUGAUUCGUCAAAAUCAAGAAAAUGUAGAAGGGAUAACCUAAAAUGGCUAUUAAAGAAUUAAAGUGUUAAUGUUCUUCUUUUUCAUUUUCCUGUUUAAUUAAGUAGCCAUCCAUCCUCUACGUACAACUCAUCACCUGCUUUAAGUAGCCAUCUAUCCUCUACAUACAACUCAUCACCUGCUUUAUUUCAUCAACAAUUAUGUUGACCUAAUAUUCAUUUGGAAGUGUGCUCUGGAAAUCUUAAAGCACUAUCCAAAUGUCACGACACACUAGAUUUAUGAAUAAUAUCCACUAUGGUAAAGGACUAACAAAGAAAGGAAACACCAUUGUCUAACUUAAAAGACAGACAAAAUACUGUGGAUAAAAAACACAAAAUAUCAUCUAUCAUCAUCAUACUCCUCUUUAUAAGAUCGAAAUUUAAAAUUAAAAAUAAAAUCAUAGUUCCCCUGUUUUAGGAUUAUUGAUUGGUGAGACGGAAACCAGGUCGUUCCAAAAAUCAAAACACACAUGUUCCAAAAAUCGUCUAACUUCAAAGACUAACAAAAAGAAUCAGAUUUGUCAAUCUAAAAGUAAUAAGCUUAAAUCUUGUAUGAUUGGGUCAACAAUUACACAGUUUACAAGCUAGACAUAUGAGUAAUUCCUGAAUUUUGUGGUACUUACCUCACAACAAGCAAUUGGGUGUAGCCGUUCUUUCUCCAGCUAUAUCUGAAAAUCGAAAUCCAACAAUUACAAAGUAAACAAUCUACUAUAAGGAACAAAGUUAAAAAAUGGAAGAAAUAAGAAAUCGAUUAAGCCAAUUUUUGUGUAAUCAUAUGAAAAAAGACAUUUUUUUCGUUUAGUUUUAUGUACAACCCUGAAAGACAAAGCAUUCUUUCAAACUUUUAGGGUUCACGAAUAGGGGAUGUGAAGAUGGCAUCAUGUAACAGGAGGACUUAUGGAGCAACGAGAAGUAGGUUAUCCACCUAUCUCCUCCUUCUCAGGGUGGGAGAGAUAACAUGAUCUUCAAUCCACCAAUUUCAAUUUCAAGGAUGACGAUCAUCUGUUAAAUGCACAAACAUAGUUAAAAAGAGGGUUAAUUUCGAACCAGAAUAUCAAAGGGUAAAAUAGUCACAUUUCAGUUUCAUGGACAAAUAUAAUGCAUGGAUGAGAAAAAGAUCCAUAUCGUAGAAAUCAAAAUCAAACUUGGGAAAAUAAAAUGUCAAGAACUAAAAUUUGUGAAAUCGGAAAACGAACCUGUUAUGUUGAUCAAGUGAGUGAAAGGAGAGGUGACGACGGUGAGGACCUUGCGCAUGUCACGUGAUGUCGUCGUUUUGGGUUUUUUAGAGGGACGGAGGUGGAGGAAGAGAAAAGUCGUUGGUGUGUGGUGGUGAGAUACAUGAUAUAGGGUUGGUUAC